RNAcentral lists this ribosomal RNA (440 nucleotides) under uncultured bacterium. Its description in RNAcentral is "partial 16S ribosomal RNA". It matches the Rfam family "Bacterial small subunit ribosomal RNA", at positions 338 to 795 of the family's 1533-position model. The record is from RNAcentral.
CCUACGGGGGGCAGCAGUGGGGAAUAUUGCACAAUGGGGGAAACCCUGAUCCAGCGACGCCGCGUGAGGGAGGAAGUAUUUCGGUAUGUAAAGCUCUAUCAGCAGGGAAGAAAAUGCCGGUACCUGACUAAGAAGCCCCGGCUAACUACGUGCCAGCAGCCGCGGUAAUACGUAGGGGGCAAGCGUUAUCCGGAUUUACUGGGUGUAAAGGGAGCGUAGACGGCUAAUCAAGUCAGAAGUGAAAACCCAGGGCUCAACGUUGGGACUGCUGUUGAAACUGGGUAGCUAGAGUGGAGGAGAGGUAAGCGGAAUUCAUAGUGGAGCGGUGAAAUGCGUAGAUAUUAGGAGGAACACCAGUGGCGAAGGCGGCUUACUGGACUGUAACUGACGUUGAGGCACGAAAGCGUGGGGAGCAAACAGGAUUAGAUACCCCAGUAGUC